Long non-coding RNA from Bubalus bubalis (water buffalo), 4163 nucleotides. RefSeq lists it as uncharacterized. The record is from RefSeq and is a predicted model, not a curated record. The transcript has 5 exons. NCBI's taxonomy places the organism in Eukaryota, Metazoa, Chordata, Mammalia, Artiodactyla, Bovidae.
UCCUCUUCCAGGGGAUCUUCCUGUCCCAGGGAUCGAACCCACAUCUCCUGCAUCUCCUGCAUUGGCAGGUAGAUUCUUUACCACUGAGCUCCCUGGGAAGCCCCUGGGUCUCUGCCAUUCACUGGUUAAAUAACUUGUACUAGAGGUGAUCUUCGCAUUAGAAGAGCACUUGGCAAGAUUUAAAAAGGUUUCUGGGUAAGCUUCCUGACCUCUCAGGGUCUCAUUCCCACUCUCUGCUCUGGGCAUCGCUAGAAGAUGUUCACUUUCCUAGCGAGGCUAGGCCAGGCUGCAAAGUGACAAGAAGGACUUAAAUAAGCAGUGAAAGCAAAAGGCAUAAUUCUGCUUAAGCUUCUUGGCUAAAUAGAGAACCUGAUGAUUCUGGGAGAUGUGGCCAGUGGUGCUCACACUCUGGGAUGCCAGGCUGGAGCACACACAAGGCAGGUAGAUUUAGUGGGUGUUUUAGGAGUUGAAUCUGACGUCACAACUUGUCUGGGAGGAACAUGCAUAUACUUGCAAAGAUAUGUUCCCAUAUAGUGUAAUUGUCGGUGCUUUAAUUCAGGCGUCACUCCUGUCUUACCCUCUGUGCAUGGCUUUCCUCCUCCAUUUUACUGCCCUAGGUAGACAGUGGGUGGGUUGCUGGGCAAGUACCUACAGUGGCUGGUGCUGCUUUAUAGCUCCUUGGCAUCCCCUGAAUCAGUUAACAUCCCAAGCUUUCCUGAGAGCCAGCCCCACCUCGUUCACAUUCUUAUUCCUUUCCUUUCCAAGAAAGAAGCUGGACUGUAGAGGAACUCCUGGCUGGCUAGUGUGCCUAGAAAGGGAGUUCCUUUCCUUUUCUUUCCAUGGGCACAAAUGAAACCAACAAGCACCCAGUUUCAAACUAUUCUAAUCCUUAAAAAAAAAAAGUUUAGGAGUUCACCAAACUAUUGUGAAUGAGUUUGAUUCUAAUCACUUGCUGGCAGGGAAUAUGGAAUAAAAUAUCUCAUUUGCAGUUGUUUAUUUCCUGUUGUGGCUUCUAUUUUCAUCUUUUAGUCACUUUGGUGAUAGUAAUCAAACCCUAAUCAUGGUGCGGCCACAAGUCACAGAGACCAAAAUAACUUGCAGCGGAGUUAUGACAAACAAGGAUGGAGUCAGCUAAAAGACCUGGCUACUUAAUCACUGGCCCCUGGCACCCGAAGGACUGCGGGGGCCGCCAUUUGACUAACCCCGCCAUUUGACCGACCGCUGGCUAAGCAUCUAGAGGAGAGAGGAAGCUGGAGGGAAAUUGCUCCAAGGCCCGUGGUCUUGAGCAGUCAGGGCCCCAGGGUGCGAGAGGAAGGAGGGCAGCAGAGUAUAUACAGGAAGUGGAGGAGAAGCAGGUGAACUGUCCACAACUGCCAGCGGGGAAACUGACAUGAAAGAGAAAGAGGAGAACAGAAAAAGAGAACUGGCAAACCCUCUACAGCUACAAGCAACUAAGCAAACACUAAAAUAAAUAGAUAAAUACCUCGUCUCGGGGAAGGCAGGAUUCCUCCUUUCAGGCCUUUUCUCAUGUUCAGUGGUUCUUGGAAAAGAAAGGUCGAGAGAGGCCCCAAAGGGCAGGUGGGUGUGUCGGUGUUGGGGCCAAGGACCAAGGCAGGGAUGAGGAUUUUUCCUUGCAGAAGCCAAAAAAGAAACAAUUGAAGAGGCCACAAAAAAAAAGUGUUGAAAAAAUAUCGACAUUUCUUGUGCAACUGUCCCCUGAAAAAUGUGUGCUCCCUCAGCCAUCCUGAACUGGCAACAAUACAACUGAAAGUGAUGGCUCAUGAAAGAAAGACAGCUUGAGUGAGGCCGAUGUGACAAUCUGCACUUCUUGGCUUAUCUUAGGAGAACGAGAAGGCAUGCUGUCAACUGAUCCAUAACAUUUGCCAGGUGACUCUCCAGGGCUCUCGGCUAGGUCCUGGGGGCCAGAGCGGGAGGGGCAGGGUGAAAUGAAUGUUCUUAGGAAGGAGUCGAGAGAAACCUCCAGGAAAAGCAAAGACCUAGGACAACAGAGACAUUCAAAUAUACAGUCACAAUUUCCUCCAGGGAUGGCCAUUGGAUGGCUGAAGAUAACGGCUGGAAGGGAAACUUAACUGCAUGUAACUUUCUGUACCUUUUCAACUUUGCACCUUGUGAAUGUACCACUUAUUCAAAAAUAUACUAAUUUGAAGGUUUGCUCUUUUUUUUUUUACUCCGUGUCUGCUUUUCUCAUUUCCUGAAAUUUGCUGUUCUGAUGUUCUUGUAGAAAAGGACGAGUUGGCAAGGUCCCAUGUGGAAGUGAGGCUGCAGACAGCGUCUCUCUCUGUGGGGCAGUUCCUACAGGAAGGCUGAUGACAACAGAGGCCAAUGUGUCAUCCCAGACGGCAAGGGCGGAGGCUGCCUUGUCAUGACCCUGGCAAGAGUCGAAAUAAUUUUGCUGCUGAUGGUGACAAGCGAGGAGGAAGGUGACGGGGGAAGAAGCUGCCCAGUGAAGUCUCCAUCCCACCUUUCUCCAUAAACAUUUAUUUUGCAGGCUUUCAAAGUCUGUGGAAUACAAUGUUAUUCAGCAUUGCUCACAUCUAGUAGACCCAUAAAGAAAAAUUGCAGUAACAUUCAGCGAGAGGUAGAAGGGAUUUUAAAGUCGUCCUCAGCAGUUCAGGCCUCAAAACCUGUGAUCCGUGGUCAAGUUUCCAUAACGCAAUAUAUUUUCUCAAAUGCGAAAUUAUUAGAUAAUUUUGCUUUUUUUGUUUUAUUGAUUUUUGAAUAUGUAAUACACGCUCAGUGCUACAUAGCUUAAAGAGGACAAAAGGGCGUGAAGAGAAAAGUAAGGCUUCCACUCAGGCCACUGACUUCUCCCUCAGGAGACGGCCCCAUCACAGCCAAAAAGAGAAGGUCCCCUCACCGCAGCCAGCAGGACGCAAGCCAUCAGCAUCUCCCUGGGGACUGCUGCCCACAGUACUUUGCCCACUUGUGCAUCUGGCUCACUGAGACCCGCCAACCCCCUUCUGCUGAGGCUGGUCUCAGUGCUGGCCUGACUGCACCACCACCCAGCAGUCUUUCUACAGCCCUCGGAACAAGGGCUUUCCAGGUGACGCCAGUGGUAAAGAACCCGCCUGCCAAUACAGGCUAGACAGAAGAGACGCAGAUUCCACCCUGGGUCAGGAAGAUCCGCUGGAGGAGGGCAUGGCAACCCGCUCCAGUAUUCUUGGCUGGAGAAUCCCGUGGAGAGAGGAGCUUGGUGGGCUACAGUCCAUAGCGUCACACAGAGCCAGACAUGACUGAAGCACCUUAGCAGGCAUGUCCACCUACCCCGAUGACUCCUUGAGGGCAGAAGCCCUGUAUUAUAGCACAUCAAACACUGGCAUGGAGCAAGCACUCACUGAUACUGGCUGAACAAAAGACUGACCCAGAAGGAAAGAAUAAAUCAUUUCAUUUUUUUAAUUUUUGGUUGCAUUGAGUCUUCCUUGCUUUGCACGGGCUUUCGCUAGUUGCGGCGAACAGGGUCUACUCUCCAGUUGUGGUGUGCUGGCUUCUCUUGUUGUGGAGCACAGGCUCUAGAUGAGCAGGCUCUGCAGUUGGGGCUCACCGGCUUAGUUGCUCUGUAGUUGGAGUUCACUGGCUUAGUUGCCCCACAGAAGGUGGAAUCUUCUUGGACCAGGGAUGGAAUUUGUGUCCUCUGCAUAAACAGGCAGAUUUUUAACCGCCUUCCCACCAGGGAAGUCCAUAAACCAUUUCUUUUGAGAUGCUGUCCUUCCUAGUUCGAGGAAUCAAUAUGCCCUAUCUUUUUAUGAAAGGCGAUGAUAAUAGACAGUGUUUACUUAAAUACUUAUUUAGAAAAAUUAAAUGUUGACAAUUGAAGGGAGGGUCUCUCGAUGCAAAACCCUAAAGCUGAGAAACUACUACUUAAAGCCCAAGGAAAGAAUCUCAGAUCCAGAAAUCCUGGGGGAGUCUAAAUACCUUCCUGAAGAAUAAGUUGCCCUAAAGUCAAGGGGGGCAUAGUUAAAACUCUCAGUUACUCCCAAUUCUGUGUCCCUCCUUCCCUCCCUUUCCUGUCUGAGGCUCAUUACAUGCAUUUUCUCAGCCGGAGUUCCAUGAAGAUGGAGAGAAGAUCCCCUAAGAUCACGCACUUGGUUAGUAACACCUUCAGGUCCAGAACUCACCUAUCCCUCCAUCAACAUCUCUACGCC